This 276-nucleotide long non-coding RNA is filed under the name Lathyrus oleraceus (garden pea). RNAcentral describes it as "Pisum sativum (pea) long non-coding RNA (PSAT_LNC035641)". Lineage: Eukaryota; Viridiplantae; Streptophyta; Magnoliopsida; Fabales; Fabaceae. The record is from RNAcentral.
UUGAUCUUCCUUUCAGCCGCCCUCCUAGGUGUACUACUGUUGUACCCCAAAAUUUUCUCUCCUUUUUCGCUUCUCAUCUGACUUAUGGAUUGAGACUCAUUCAUAUUUCAUUCAUGUGCAUCAUUCAUUCAUGAUUAACACUUGCUAACAGGCAUCAAAGAUUCAAGGUUUAUGGUUGGUAAAAACAAGGGAUUUGCUUGAAGAUUAUGGUAUUGCACACCUUAUCGGUUGAAACCCUAGUUCUUGACUUUGAUCCUAUAGGAUCUUGUGUUUGAC